This is a non-coding RNA of Danionella cerebrum, 75 nucleotides long. The record is from the annotation of a GenBank genome assembly. Lineage: Eukaryota; Metazoa; Chordata; Actinopteri; Cypriniformes; Danionidae.
GCUUUCCUGGGGCUCAGCUGGUAAAACAUUGUGCUACAAAUGCAAAGGUUGUGGGUUCAAAUCCCAAUGAAAGUA